UACGAAGGGGGCUAGCGUUGUUCGGAAUUACUGGGCGUAAAGCGCGCGCAGGCGGUCUUCCAAGUCAGUGGUGAAAGCCCGGAGCUCAACUCCAGAACUGCCUUUGAUACUGAGGACCUUGAGUUCGGGAGAGGUGAGUGGAACUGCGAGUGUAGAGGUGAAAUUCGUAGAUAUUCGCAAGAACACCAGUGGCGAAGGCGGCUCACUGGCCCGAUACUGACGCUGAGGUGCGAAAGCGUGGGGAGCAAACAGG
Molecule: ribosomal RNA, 253 nt
Filed under: uncultured bacterium
Lineage: Bacteria
Description: partial 16S ribosomal RNA
Rfam family: Bacterial small subunit ribosomal RNA
Source: RNAcentral